RNAcentral lists this ribosomal RNA (389 nucleotides) under uncultured bacterium. RNAcentral's name for it is "bacterial SSU rRNA". It matches the Rfam family "Bacterial small subunit ribosomal RNA", at positions 355 to 761 of the family's 1533-position model. The record is from RNAcentral.
UGGGGAAUCUUGCACAAUGGGGGCAACCCUGAUGCAGCGACGCCGCGUGAGCGAUGAAGCCCUUCGGGGCGUAAAGCUCCUUCGACCGGAACGAUAAUGACGGUACCGGGAGAAGAAGCUGCGGCUAACUACGUGCCAGCAGCCGCGGUAAUACGUAGGCAGCAAGCGUUGUUCGGAGUUACUGGGCGUACAGAGUGCGUAGGCGGUUUUCUAAGUUCGGUGUGAAAUCUCCCGGCUUAACUGUGAGGGUGCGCCGAAGACUGGGAAGCUGGAGUGUGUGAAAGGCAAGCUUAAUUCCUGGUGUAGCGGUGAAAUGCGUAGAUAUCAGGAGGAACACCGACGGUGUAGACGGCUUGCUAGACCAUAACUGACGCUGAAGCACGAAAGCG